This 450-nucleotide ribosomal RNA is filed under the name uncultured bacterium. RNAcentral's name for it is "SSU rRNA". It matches the Rfam family "Bacterial small subunit ribosomal RNA", at positions 26 to 518 of the family's 1533-position model. The record is from RNAcentral.
AGAGCGAACGCUGGCGGCAGGCUUAACACAUGCAAGUCGAGCGGGCGUAGCAAUACGUCAGCGGCAGACGGGUGAGUAACGCGUGGGAACGUACCUUUUGGUUCGGAACAACCCAGGGAAACUUGGGCUAAUACCGGAUAAGCCCUUACGGGGAAAGAUUUAUCGCCGAAAGAUCGGCCCGCGUUUGAUUAGCUAGUUGGUGAGGUAAUGGCUCACCAAGGCGACGAUCAGUAGCUGGUCUGAGAGGAUGAUCAGCCACAUUGGGACUGAGACACGGCCCAAACUCCUACGGGAGGCAGCAGUGGGGAAUAUUGGACAAUGGGCGCAAGCCUGAUCCAGCCAUGCCGCGUGAGUGAUGAAGGCCCUAGGGUUGUAAAGCUCUUUUGUGCGGGAAGAUAAUGACGGUACCGCAAGAAUAACGCCCGGACUAACGUUCGCGCCAGCAGCCGC